AGAGGGAUAGCUGGGUCAAACGGUUCCAUUCCAAGUUUUCUAAGGAAUUUCCAUAUUCCUUUCCAGAUUGGCUUCACCAAUUUGCAGUCCCACCAGCAAU
This 100-nucleotide microRNA precursor is filed under the name Marmota monax (woodchuck). The record is from RNAcentral. Lineage: Eukaryota; Metazoa; Chordata; Mammalia; Rodentia; Sciuridae.